AUAUUACUUCCACCGGGUAGUGAAUGUUAAAGCAUUCUUAACACAUCAUCAGGUCAGAGAAGAUGUGUGAUCAUGCUUUUUGUUCUG
This 87-nucleotide non-coding RNA is filed under the name unclassified sequences. The record is from RNAcentral.